RNAcentral lists this long non-coding RNA (393 nucleotides) under Lotus japonicus. RNAcentral describes it as "long non-coding RNA (LJAP_LNC000610)". The record is from RNAcentral. Lineage: Eukaryota; Viridiplantae; Streptophyta; Magnoliopsida; Fabales; Fabaceae.
AUCCUCUCAAGACUAGCUAAUCACUGAAUCAACCUUGAUUCAGUCCUCUCAAGAUCUGACCAACCUUGGUCUCUUAAGGAAUUACAAUAAGAUUGUAGUAGGUUUGUGUUUACAAAUGAAUGCUUCUGAUAAGCAGGGUAAACUUAGAAUUGUAAGCGUAUGAAGAAUAUUGCUUGGGAGCUUUGUAAGUAUGUUUGCUAAAUUCGUGCAAUGCUUCUUACUUUCUUCAUCUUGAUGCAGCGUUCUUAUACUUCUGGAUUCGAAGAAUGUUACCGUUGUAGGAUCUGCUUUUGCAGAGACCGGUUGUAGUGGAAUACAGAGAAUAAGGAAUAUUGUGCUGCCCGAGGUAGGUGUGCCAUCGAGAAUAAACAUCCAUGUCCAGGAUAUUCUAUU